This 526-nucleotide ribosomal RNA is filed under the name uncultured bacterium. Its description in RNAcentral is "bacterial SSU rRNA". It matches the Rfam family "Bacterial small subunit ribosomal RNA", at positions 28 to 521 of the family's 1533-position model. The record is from RNAcentral.
GACGAACGCUGGCGGCGUGCUUAACACAUGCAAGUCGAACGGAGAUUAAGGAGUCAGUUUACUGAAGCUUUAAUCUUAGUGGCGGACGGGUGAGUAACGCGUGGGUAACCUACCCUGAAUACCGGGACAACAGCUGGAAACGGCUGCUAAUACCGGAUAAUCUCUUAAGAAGGCAUCUUUUUAAGAGGAAAGGUGGCCUCUUUUAAAAGCUACCGAUUAAGGAUGGACCCGCGUCUGAUUAGCUAGUUGGUAGGGUAGCGGCUUACCAAGGCUUCGAUCAGUAGCCGGCCUGAGAGGGUGACCGGCCACACUGGGACUGAGACACGGCCCAGACUCCUACGGGAGGCAGCAGUGGGGAAUCUUCCGCAAUGGGCGCAAGCCUGACGGAGCAACGCCGCGUGAAUGAAGAAGGCCUUCGGGUCGUAAAGUUCUGUUGAAAGGGAAGAAGUCUUUCAUGUGAAUAAUGUGAGAAGGUGACGGUACCUUUUGAGGAAGCUCCGGCUAACUACGUGCCAGCAGCCGCGGU